CAGCCGCCGCGGUAAUACGUAGGGUGCGAGCGUUAAUCGGAAUUACUGGGCGUAAAGCGUGCGCAGGCGGUUGUGUAAGACAGGUGUGAAAUCCCCGGGCUUAACCUGGGAACUGCGCUUGUGACUGCACAGCUAGAGUAUGGCAGAGGGGGGUGGAAUUCCACGUGUAGCAGUGAAAUGCGUAGAGAUGCGGAGGAACACCGAUGGCGAAGGCAGCCCCCUGGGCCAAUACUGACGCUCAUGCACGAAAGCGUGGGGAGCAAACAGGAUUAGAUACCCCUGUAGUCCCUGUCUCUUAUAU
Molecule: ribosomal RNA, 301 nt
Filed under: uncultured bacterium
Lineage: Bacteria
Description: partial 16S ribosomal RNA
Rfam family: Bacterial small subunit ribosomal RNA
Source: RNAcentral